RNAcentral lists this ribosomal RNA (655 nucleotides) under uncultured bacterium. RNAcentral's name for it is "bacterial SSU rRNA". It matches the Rfam family "Bacterial small subunit ribosomal RNA", at positions 81 to 717 of the family's 1533-position model. The record is from RNAcentral.
GGGAGGCGAGUAGAGUGGCGCACGGGUGAGUAACACGUAGGUAAUCUACCUUUGGAUGGGGAAUAACAACCGGAAACGGUUGCUAAUACCGCAUAAUGCAGCGGCACCUAAUGGUGACAGUUGUUAAAGCGGGGGAUCGAAAGACCUCGCGUCUGAAGAGGAGCCUGCGGCGGAUUAGCUAGUUGGUAAGGUAAUGGCUUACCAAGGCGAUGAUCCGUAACCGGCCUGAGAGGGCGGUCGGUCACACUGACACUGACAUACGGGUCAGACUCCUACGGGAGGCAGCAGUCGGGAAUUUUGGGCAAUGGGCGAAAGCCUGACCCAGCAACGCCGCGUGAAGGAUGAAAUCCCUCGGGAUGUAAACUUCGCAAGAACAGGAAGAAUAAGUAAGGGUUAAUAUCUCUUACGAUGACGGUACUGUUUGUAAGCUCCGGCUAACUCCGUGCCAGCAGCCGCGGUAAUACGGGGGGAGCAAGCGUUGUUCGGAUUUACUGGGCGUAAAGGGCGCGUAGGCGGCCACCGCAAGUCGGUUGUGAAAUCUCUGGGCUUAACCCAGAAAGGUCAACCGAUACUGCGGGGCUAGAGUGCAGAAGGGGCAACUGGAAUUCUCGGUGUAGCGGUGAAAUGCGUAGAUAUCGAGAGGAAACCUGCGGCG